CGGGAAACCGGAGCUAAUACCGGAUAAUAUUUUGAACCGCAUGGUUCAAAAGUGAAAGACGGUCUUGCUGUCACUUAUAGAUGGAUCCGCGCUGCAUUAGCUAGUUGGUAAGGUAACGGCUUACCAAGGCAACGAUGCAUAGCCGACCUGAGAGGGUGAUCGGCCACACUGGAACUGAGACACGGUCCAGACUCCUACGGGAGGCAGCAGUAGGGAAUCUUCCGCAAUGGGCGAAAGCCUGACGGAGCAACGCCGCGUGAGUGAUGAAGGUCUUCGGAUCGUAAAACUCUGUUAUUAGGGAAGAACAUAUGUGUAAGUAACUGUGCACAUCUUGACGGUACCUAAUCAGAAAGCCACGGCUAACUACGUGCCAGCAGCCGCGGUAAUACGUAGGUGGCAAGCGUUAUCCGGAAUUAUUGGGCGUAAAGCGCGCGUAGGCGGUUUUUUAAGUCUGAUGUGAAAGCCCACGGCUCAACCGUGGAGGGUCAUUGGAAACUGGAAAACUUGAGUGCAGAAGAGGAAAGUGGAAUUCCAUGUGUAGCGGUGAAAUGCGCAGAGAUAUGGAGGAACACCAGUGGCGAAGGCGACUUUCUGGUCUGUAACUGACGCUGAUGUGCGAAAGCGUGGGGAUCAAACAG
Molecule: ribosomal RNA, 638 nt
Filed under: Staphylococcus aureus
Lineage: Bacteria; Bacillati; Bacillota; Bacilli; Caryophanales; Staphylococcaceae
Description: bacterial SSU rRNA
Rfam family: Bacterial small subunit ribosomal RNA
Source: RNAcentral